CUUCCUUUAGCUAGUCAGUCGGCAAUUCUGCAACAGUGGCUCUAACUGACGCAGCACUUGACAGACAGCAUUACAGCGUGAAAUCCAGCUUGUGAACAGGUUCUGUAAGGAAUUCUGUUCAGGAGGUCGCAUUUCAGGCUCUCCACAUCAUGUGUGACUGACUUUUACGUUAUAAUGAUCACACACUAGGAAUGUUAUAAAGCACCUAUAUGGGACAGUUUCUUUUGUAUAUUAUCUGACUUUAUAAACUCUCAACAACAAUGUGCUUAUAUAUUUUUUUCAGGCUAAAUCUACCCAAGACACUGGCUGUCAGACUGAUUUAGCUGCAAGAAUGCACUUGUCCAGGCUGACGUGAAACCUUCCCUGUAGCAAAGCCAGCCAGAAUGGAGUUCACAGCCGCAGUGUGUCUGGUGACCCACGGGGACCAUGAUGAAAAUUCAUCUUCCAGAAGGUCCCAGAGCAGCGGCCACACCCCCUGAAAAGACCAAGGUGUGAGGUGUCUGCUGUUGAUUCCAGCUUCCACCUCAGUGACGGUGCAAGCUCAGUGAACUGUUCAAGGACACUCAGCAAAAUAUGGACUCUACACCAUGAGGCAGGCACAUGUUAAUACUCUAUAAGAGCACAUAAGCAUGAGGAUGUCCUCACACACCUGUAACCUAUCAGCUCAUCUGGCAGAAUAGAGAGAGAAGAGACAACACCACAUCUCCUGUUCCUGGAAAGCCUUCAGCCAUCCUUCGAUGACUGAGAACCUCCAUCAGCUCUGUCUCCUGUCUGCCUACAAUAAUUAUAAUAAAUAUUGUGUUUGACAAGUUUUUUGUGCUGCCAAAUAUCUCAUAUAGAUUCCAGUUUUGAUAUUUUAAUGGAUAUUUAUAAAUUACAUUAAUUGAAUUAUCACAAUGCAUGUUUAACUAGCUCUAUUGUGAUGAAUUAAACUAGCACCUCACUGUUAAAAGCUCGUUUUAAUUUCAAGCAUGUUUAAGUAUUUAUGGACAUGAACAAAAACAGGAAAUAUAUAAAUUGAGAUUUAUUUAAUUAAUAUAACAAAUAAGGAGGAAAGAGUCAUUGAAAGGCACAUUCUUCUGGAAGCUCCUGAUCCUGAUUGCACCAGCAGAGGAGACCACCUGCAGACACCAGAGACCAGCUGCAGACACCAGAGGACCUAGAACCAAGAGAGCAGCUGUUAUCAGUAAAUAAAUAAACCAGGGCAGUUUUAGUGAGCUGAACACAUUACAGAAUAAUUUUCUCAUGGGGUAUUUUCAUAACUUUAUGCAGCAGACUGUAACUUGAGCCCAGAGCUACCGGAGAGCUGCUAUCCAGCACGUUUCAGUGGAUUUUCCUGCUUUAACAGGUUAGAUUAGCUGUUAAGCAGCUCAGCUAUUUGUUGCAGAUUAAAACCAGGUGUGCUGAAGCAGAUAAACCUCUAAAACAUGCUGAAUACUAGCUCUCCAGGGCCGUGGAGACAAACCCUGCAGCUAAUCCAAUGCUAUGGCUAACGGCUACUUACGUUCAGAGGUGGUUCUGUUGGGUCGGUUCUGGGAGUUACAGGCAACUCACAAGCUCACAACAAUAAGGCUCAGGUCCGCUUGUCUCCUCCAAAUAGACUUGGUCCCUUUCUUCUCGAGUGUCUGGGUAAGGAGGGGGAGAAACGUCCUCCAUUUCUAAUAACUGCAUAGAGUGAAGGGAGCUAGCAUCGUCUAGUUAGCCGUCGUCUUCGUCACUGCCGCGGCUCCGCCCUCUCGGUCCUCCAGGCAACGCCUACUAAUGUUGCAUUUUUUAAAAUUGAUACGUGGGUAGAGAAGGACUCCGAGGCUCAAUUGACCCGCUCUUUAACUGUUUUACCUUCCUGUGAAGAUUGUUGCAAAGAGAAACAACUAAACUUGAUUAACCCCAGAGCCACGCGCACUGCGCUGUACUGACUGUAAAGUGAGGGGGAAAUGAUUUAAUUGAAUUUUUUUCUUUUCAACAUGGUUUAAUGUAAAGUUUCAUUCAUUACAAACUUUAGUUACACCAGUCUAACGAGACAGAGCCUGGAUUUGUAUUCUGAACAGUUUAAACAUGUUUAAAACGGAGACAUGCGUGACGCGUCUAAAAUUCGCACCUGCUCCGCUAUUAUGGAAAUUAAACUAACAAGAUGAAUAACAGGAACUUAUUUUAGGCACAGAAAACAU
Nothobranchius furzeri (turquoise killifish) is the source of this 2168-nucleotide non-coding RNA. Lineage: Eukaryota; Metazoa; Chordata; Actinopteri; Cyprinodontiformes; Nothobranchiidae. The record is from RefSeq and is a predicted model, not a curated record.